Molecule: non-coding RNA, 158 nt
Organism: Cupriavidus basilensis
Lineage: Bacteria; Pseudomonadati; Pseudomonadota; Betaproteobacteria; Burkholderiales; Burkholderiaceae
Source: Rfam
UCCCGGGCGACUGGGAGUUUGAAGGAAGUCCGAGGCAAAGCGCUGGCCUGACGAACAGGAAGCGGAUGAGGCGUCGUAUCGGGGUGAGGUAGCCGAAAUUGCCAAAGCCCAGUACUUGCACGGAACGAUCCGAUCGGCUUGCCGAACUGGACACGAUC